Molecule: ribosomal RNA, 253 nt
Filed under: uncultured bacterium
Lineage: Bacteria
Description: partial 16S ribosomal RNA
Rfam family: Bacterial small subunit ribosomal RNA
Source: RNAcentral
UACGUAGGAGGCAAGCGUUGUCCGGAAUUACUGGGCGUAAAGCGCGUGUAGGUGGUGGGACAAGUCUGCUGUGAAAGCGCCUGGCUUAACCGGGCGAGGUCGGCGGAAACUGUCCGACUCGAGGACGGUAGAGGGGGGUGGAAUUCCCGGUGUAGUGGUGAAAUGCGUAGAGAUCGGGAGGAACACCUGUGGCGAAGGCGGCCCCCUGGGCCGGCCCUGACACUGAGACGCGAAAGCGUGGGGAGCAAACGGG